Molecule: ribosomal RNA, 389 nt
Filed under: uncultured eukaryote
Lineage: Eukaryota
Description: partial 18S ribosomal RNA
Rfam family: Eukaryotic small subunit ribosomal RNA
Source: RNAcentral
CAAUAGCGUAUAUUAACUUUGUUGCAGUUAAAAGGCUCGUAGUCGAAUUUAUGGCUCUGUGCAACGCUUCCGGUGCCGAGUGCAUCGAGUGGGCAAUGCACGGGUCAUCCUUCCGGAGAGCACUUCUACCCUUGAUUGGGUUGGUCGUUGUGAUCCAGAUCAUUUACUGUGAGUAAAUCAAAGUGUUCAACACAGGCUUGUGAAGCUUGUAUGCUCUAGCAUGGAAUAAUAAGAUAGGACUUUGGUUUUAUUUUGUUGGCUUUUAAAACUAAAGUAAUGAUCGAUAGGGAUAGUUGGGGGUGCUAGUAUUGAACGGUCAGCGGUGAAAUGCGUAGACCCGUUCAAGACUAACUUGUGCGAAAGCAUUCACCAAGGAUAUCUUCUUUGAC